RNAcentral lists this ribosomal RNA (491 nucleotides) under Fusarium succisae. Its description in RNAcentral is "eukaryotic LSU rRNA". The stretch from base 137 to 290 matches the Rfam family "5.8S ribosomal RNA". Lineage: Eukaryota; Fungi; Ascomycota; Sordariomycetes; Hypocreales; Nectriaceae. The record is from RNAcentral.
CUCCCAAACCCCUGUGAACAUACCAAUUGUUGCCUCGGCGGAUCAGCCCGCUCCCGGUAAAACGGGACGGCCCGCCAGAGGACCCCUAAACUCUGUUUCUAUAUGUAACUUCUGAGUAAAACCAUAAAUAAAUCAAAACUUUCAACAACGGAUCUCUUGGUUCUGGCAUCGAUGAAGAACGCAGCAAAAUGCGAUAAGUAAUGUGAAUUGCAGAAUUCAGUGAAUCAUCGAAUCUUUGAACGCACAUUGCGCCCGCCAGUAUUCUGGCGGGCAUGCCUGUUCGAGCGUCAUUUCAACCCUCAAGCCCAGCUUGGUGUUGGGACUCGCGAGUUAAAUCGCGUUCCCCAAAUUGAUUGGCGGUCACGUCGAGCUUCCAUAGCGUAGUAGUAAAACCCUCGUUACUGGUAAUCGUCGCGGCCACGCCGUUAAACCCCAACUUCUGAAUGUUGACCUCGGAUCAGGUAGGAAUACCCGCUGAACUUAAGCAUAUC